GAUUGAACAGGUGACUGAACAGGUGAGGCCUAAUCAAAGAGACUGAGCUCUGCUCUGCCGCUGCAGCUACAAACCUGGGAGAAGAAAGCGGAGGGAAGACGCUGGGAAGCCCAGGAGAUUCCCGUUGGAACUGUGUCUAAAAGGACCACGAGAUAAAGAUGCUCAGGUUGAUUUGGGAUUUGGAAAAUCAUGACUACAUUCUGAGCAAGGAGCUGACAGACUGCGAUGAGACAGACUACAAGAGAUGACAACGAUAAGUUACAUCAACUGAAUCAUUUCAUCUUAUGGAUGCAAAGAUGAAGGAAAAGAACAAAAACAUGGC
Molecule: long non-coding RNA, 322 nt
Filed under: Ornithorhynchus anatinus (platypus)
Lineage: Eukaryota; Metazoa; Chordata; Mammalia; Monotremata; Ornithorhynchidae
Description: lncRNA (ENSOANG00000039283.1)
Source: RNAcentral